This 2902-nucleotide ribosomal RNA is filed under the name Klebsiella quasipneumoniae. Its description in RNAcentral is "23S ribosomal RNA". It matches the Rfam family "Bacterial large subunit ribosomal RNA". Lineage: Bacteria; Pseudomonadati; Pseudomonadota; Gammaproteobacteria; Enterobacterales; Enterobacteriaceae. The record is from RNAcentral.
GGUUAAGCGACUAAGCGUACACGGUGGAUGCCCUGGCAGUCAGAGGCGAUGAAGGACGUGCUAAUCUGCGAAAAGCGUCGGUAAGGUGAUAUGAACCGUUAUAACCGGCGAUGUCCGAAUGGGGAAACCCAGUGCAAUUCGUUGCACUAUCGUUAACUGAAUACAUAGGUUAACGAGGCGAACCGGGGGAACUGAAACAUCUAAGUACCCCGAGGAAAAGAAAUCAACCGAGAUUCCCCCAGUAGCGGCGAGCGAACGGGGAGCAGCCCAGAGUCUGAAUCAGCUUGUGUGUUAGUGGAACGGUCUGGAAAGUCCGACGGUACAGGGUGAUAGUCCCGUACACCAAAAUGCACAGGUUGUGAACUCGAAGAGUAGGGCGGGACACGUGGUAUCCUGUCUGAAUAUGGGGGGACCAUCCUCCAAGGCUAAAUACUCCUGACUGACCGAUAGUGAACCAGUACCGUGAGGGAAAGGCGAAAAGAACCCCGGCGAGGGGAGUGAAAAAGAACCUGAAACCGUGUACGUACAAGCAGUGGGAGCACCUUCGGGUGUGACUGCGUACCUUUUGUAUAAUGGGUCAGCGACUUAUAUUCUGUAGCAAGGUUAACCGUAUAGGGGAGCCGCAGGGAAACCGAGUCUUAACUGGGCGUUAAGUUGCAGGGUAUAGACCCGAAACCCGGUGAUCUAGCCAUGGGCAGGUUGAAGGUUGGGUAACACUAACUGGAGGACCGAACCGACUAAUGUUGAAAAAUUAGCGGAUGACUUGUGGCUGGGGGUGAAAGGCCAAUCAAACCGGGAGAUAGCUGGUUCUCCCCGAAAGCUAUUUAGGUAGCGCCUCGUGAAUUCAUCUUCGGGGGUAGAGCACUGUUUCGGCUAGGGGGUCAUCCCGACUUACCAACCCGAUGCAAACUACGAAUACCGAAGAAUGUUAUCACGGGAGACACACGGCGGGUGCUAACGUCCGUCGUGAAGAGGGAAACAACCCAGACCGCCAGCUAAGGUCCCAAAGUCAUGGUUAAGUGGGAAACGAUGUGGGAAGGCACAGACAGCCAGGAUGUUGGCUUAGAAGCAGCCAUCAUUUAAAGAAAGCGUAAUAGCUCACUGGUCGAGUCGGCCUGCGCGGAAGAUGUAACGGGGCUAAACCAUGCACCGAAGCUGCGGCAGCGACACGAUGUGUUGUUGGGUAGGGGAGCGUUCUGUAAGCCUGCGAAGGUGACCUGUGAGGGUUGCUGGAGGUAUCAGAAGUGCGAAUGCUGACAUAAGUAACGAUAAAGCGGGUGAAAAGCCCGCUCGCCGGAAGACCAAGGGUUCCUGUCCAACGUUAAUCGGGGCAGGGUGAGUCGACCCCUAAGGCGAGGCCGAAAGGCGUAGUCGAUGGGAAACAGGUUAAUAUUCCUGUACUUGGUGUUACUGCGAAGGGGGGACGGAGAAGGCUAUGUUAGCCGGGCGACGGUUGUCCCGGUUUAAGCAUGUAGGCUGGUUAUCCAGGCAAAUCCGGAUAAUCAAGGCUGAGGUGUGAUGACGAGGCACUACGGUGCUGAAGUAACAAAUGCCCUGCUUCCAGGAAAAGCCUCUAAGCAUCAGGUAACAUCAAAUCGUACCCCAAACCGACACAGGUGGUCAGGUAGAGAAUACCAAGGCGCUUGAGAGAACUCGGGUGAAGGAACUAGGCAAAAUGGUGCCGUAACUUCGGGAGAAGGCACGCUGGUGUGUAGGUGAAGCCCCUGCGGGUGGAGCUGAGACCAGUCGAAGAUACCAGCUGGCUGCAACUGUUUAUUAAAAACACAGCACUGUGCAAACACGAAAGUGGACGUAUACGGUGUGACGCCUGCCCGGUGCCGGAAGGUUAAUUGAUGGGGUUAUCCGUAAGGAGAAGCUCUUGAUCGAAGCCCCGGUAAACGGCGGCCGUAACUAUAACGGUCCUAAGGUAGCGAAAUUCCUUGUCGGGUAAGUUCCGACCUGCACGAAUGGCGUAAUGAUGGCCAGGCUGUCUCCACCCGAGACUCAGUGAAAUUGAACUCGCUGUGAAGAUGCAGUGUACCCGCGGCAAGACGGAAAGACCCCGUGAACCUUUACUAUAGCUUGACACUGAACAUUGAGCCUUGAUGUGUAGGAUAGGUGGGAGGCUUUGAAGCGUGGACGCCAGUCUGCGUGGAGCCAACCUUGAAAUACCACCCUUUAAUGUUUGAUGUUCUAACGUUGGCCCCUGACCGGGGUUGCGGACAGUGUCUGGUGGGUAGUUUGACUGGGGCGGUCUCCUCCCAAAGCGUAACGGAGGAGCACGAAGGUUAGCUAAUCCUGGUCGGACAUCAGGAGGUUAGUGCAAUGGCAUAAGCUAGCUUGACUGCGAGCGUGACGGCGCGAGCAGGUGCGAAAGCAGGUCAUAGUGAUCCGGUGGUUCUGAAUGGAAGGGCCAUCGCUCAACGGAUAAAAGGUACUCCGGGGAUAACAGGCUGAUACCGCCCAAGAGUUCAUAUCGACGGCGGUGUUUGGCACCUCGAUGUCGGCUCAUCACAUCCUGGGGCUGAAGUAGGUCCCAAGGGUAUGGCUGUUCGCCAUUUAAAGUGGUACGCGAGCUGGGUUUAGAACGUCGUGAGACAGUUCGGUCCCUAUCUGCCGUGGGCGCUGGAGAAUUGAGGGGGGCUGCUCCUAGUACGAGAGGACCGGAGUGGACGCAUCACUGGUGUUCGGGUUGUCAUGCCAAUGGCACUGCCCGGUAGCUAAAUGCGGAAGAGAUAAGUGCUGAAAGCAUCUAAGCACGAAACUUGCCCCGAGAUGAGUUCUCCCUGAGACUUUAAGUCUCCUGAAGGAACGUUGAAGACGACGACGUUGAUAGGCCGGGUGUGUAAGCGCAGCGAUGCGUUGAGCUAACCGGUACUAAUGAACCGUGAGGCUUAACCUU